GAUGAACGCUGGCGGCGUGCCUAAUACAUGCCAGUCGAGCGAACAGACGAGGAGCUUGCUCCUCUGACGUUAGCGGCGGACGGGUGAGUAACACGUGGUUAACCUACCUAUAAGACUGGGAUAACUUCGGGAAACCGGAGCUAAUACCGGAUAAUAUAUUGAACCGCAUGGUUCAAUAGUGAAAGACGGUUUUGCUGUCACUUAUAGAUGGAUCCGCGCCGCAUUAGCUAGUUGGUAAGGUAACGGCUUACCAAGGCAACGAUGCGUAGCCGACCUGAGAGGGUGAUCGGCCACACUGGAACUGAGACACGGUCCAGACUCCUACGGGAGGCAGCAGUAGGGAAUCUUCCGCAAUGGGCGAAAGCUUGACGGAGCAACGCCGCGUGAGUGAUGAAGGUCUUGGGAUCGUAAAACUCUGUUAUUAGGGAAGAACAAAUGUGUAAGUAACUAUGCACGUCUUGACGGUACCUAAUCAGAAAGCCACGGCUAACUACGU
This 496-nucleotide ribosomal RNA is filed under the name uncultured bacterium. RNAcentral describes it as "partial 16S ribosomal RNA". It matches the Rfam family "Bacterial small subunit ribosomal RNA", at positions 28 to 506 of the family's 1533-position model. The record is from RNAcentral.